AUCAACUCAGAGUACGCGGGAGUACCAGCACCCACAUGGAAUCCUGUUGCCUGCAAGGGGUGCAUUAUAGCCACAGGGCCAUUGCACUAGGCCCUCCAUGAACAUUUUGAAGUAUCCUCAUACUAAUUGCUUCUCCAUUGUCUUCAUGGCUACAGCUAUUCGGCUUCACCCCAGGAGGUUCCCUCCCUGACCCCUGAAUGCGUCUGAGUUUUCAGCCUUUGUGAAAAUUCUCUCUCCACCAUGUGCCAAACAAGGCACCUUGGGCUGCUUCCCCAACUUGUGCAGUUUCCUCACCCUAAAUGUGUUCCUUCAGCUCCU
Long non-coding RNA from Ochotona curzoniae (black-lipped pika), 318 nucleotides. RefSeq lists it as uncharacterized. NCBI's taxonomy places the organism in Eukaryota, Metazoa, Chordata, Mammalia, Lagomorpha, Ochotonidae. The record is from RefSeq and is a predicted model, not a curated record. The transcript has 4 exons.